GCUUCCAGGGAGAAUUGAACUCUCGACCUCCUGUUUACUAGACAGGCGCUCUACCACUGAGCUAUGGAAGCU
RNAcentral lists this transfer RNA (72 nucleotides) under Belgica antarctica. RNAcentral's name for it is "tRNA IU25_tRNA_107". The record is from RNAcentral. Lineage: Eukaryota; Metazoa; Arthropoda; Insecta; Diptera; Chironomidae.